GACUGUUUUACCAAAAACAUAGCCACUAGAAAAUUUUAAUGGUGGUGAAACCUGCUCCAUGAUUAAAAAUAAAUAGAAUAAUAAUAUUUAAUUAAAUAGCUGCGGUAACCGUGACCGUACUAAGGUAGCAUAAUAAAUCGUCUAUUAAUUGUAGAAUAGAAUGAAGGUUAAACGAAAACUCAACUGUCUCAAAAAUGAAUUUGUGAAAAUUGAAAGUGUGUGAAUAUCCACACUUAAACAGCAAGACGAUAAGACCCUGCGAACUUUACAAAACAUUUAUACAACCAUAAACAUAAUUUUUUAAAUACAAAGUUUCGUUGGGGCAACGACCUUACAAAAGUAACUAAGGCUAAAAACCAAUCUACAUAAAUAUAGAUAAAUAAAUCAAUAUAAAUUACAAAGAUAAAACCCGUUAUAAAAACCUAUAAUAAUAACGCAAAAAAAUAAAAGUUCCGCAGGGAUAACAGCGUAAUAUUAUUUCAAGAAAAAUAUCUUAAAUAAAGAUUGCGACCU
Molecule: ribosomal RNA, 513 nt
Filed under: Pheronema sp. HBOI 10-VI-91-1-001
Lineage: Eukaryota; Metazoa; Porifera; Hexactinellida; Amphidiscosida; Pheronematidae
Description: partial 16S ribosomal RNA
Rfam family: Archaeal large subunit ribosomal RNA (bases 1-233)
Source: RNAcentral